This 463-nucleotide ribosomal RNA is filed under the name uncultured bacterium. RNAcentral describes it as "bacterial SSU rRNA". It matches the Rfam family "Bacterial small subunit ribosomal RNA", at positions 30 to 483 of the family's 1533-position model. The record is from RNAcentral.
AUUGAACGCUGGCGGAAUGCUUUACACAUGCAAGUCGAACGGCAGCACGGGGCAACCUGGUGGCGAGUGGCGAACGGGUGAGUAAUACAUCGGAACGUGCCCAAUCGUGGGGGAUAACGUAGCGAAAGUUACGCUAAUACCGCAUACGAUCUACGGAUGAAAGCGGGGGAUCGCAAGACCUCGCGCGAAAUGGAGCGGCCGAUGUCAGAUUAGGUAGUUGGUGGGGUAAAAGGCUCACCAAGCCAACGAUCUGUAGCUGGUCUGAGAGGACGACCAGCCACACUGGAACUGAGACACGGUCCAGACUCCUACGGGAGGCAGCAGUGGGGAAUUUUGGACAAUGGGCGCAAGCCUGAUCCAGCCAUUCCGCGUGCAGGAUGAAGGCCUUCGGUUGUAAACGUGCUUUUGUUACGGAACGAAACGGACGAGCUCUAAUACAAGUUGUCUAAUGACGGUACCGUAA